RNAcentral lists this ribosomal RNA (740 nucleotides) under uncultured Staphylococcus sp. RNAcentral describes it as "bacterial SSU rRNA". It matches the Rfam family "Bacterial small subunit ribosomal RNA", at positions 84 to 811 of the family's 1533-position model. The record is from RNAcentral. Lineage: Bacteria; Bacillati; Bacillota; Bacilli; Caryophanales; Staphylococcaceae.
CUCUGAUGUUAGCGGCGGACGGGUGAGUAACACGUGGAUAACCUACCUAUAAGACUGGGAUAACUUCGGGAAACGGAGCUAAUACCGGAUAAUAUUUUGAACCGCAUGGUUCAAAAGUAAAAGGCGGGUCUUGCUGUCACUUAUAGAUGGAUCCGCGCUGCAUUAGCUAGUUGGUAAGGUAACGGCUUACCAAGGCAACGAUGCAUAGCCGACCUGAGAGGGUGAUCGGCCACACUGGAACUGAGACACGGUCCAGACUCCUACGGGAGGCAGCAGUAGGGAAUCUUCCGCAAUGGGCGAAAGCCUGACGGAGCAACGCCGCGUGAGUGAUGAAGGUCUUCGGAUCGUAAAACUCUGUUAUUAGGGAAGAACAUAUGUGUAAGUAACUGUGCACGUCUUGACGGUACCUAAUCAGAAAGCCACGGCUAACUACGUGCCAGCAGCCGCGGUAAUACGUAGGUGGCAAGCGUUAUCCGGAAUUAUUGGGCGUAAAGCGCGCGUAGGCGGUUUUUUAAGUCUGAUGUGAAAGCCCACGGCUCAACCGUGGAGGGUCAUUGGAAACUGGAAAACUUGAGUGCAGAAGAGGAAAGUGGAAUUCCAUGUGUAGCGGUGAAAUGCGCAGAGAUAUGGAGGAACACCAGUGGCGAAGGCGACUUUCUGGUCUGUAACUGACGCUGAUGUGCGAAAGCGUGGGGAUCAAACAGGAUUAGAUACCCUGGUAGUCCACGCCGUAAACGAUG